AAGGAUUUAAGUUAACUAAAACUAGUAGCCUUCAAAGCUUCAAAUAGAAGCAAUCUUCUAAGCCUUA
This 67-nucleotide transfer RNA is filed under the name Cucujoidea sp. 46 KM-2017. RNAcentral describes it as "tRNA-Trp". Lineage: Eukaryota; Metazoa; Arthropoda; Insecta; Coleoptera. The record is from RNAcentral.